This 253-nucleotide ribosomal RNA is filed under the name uncultured bacterium. Its description in RNAcentral is "partial 16S ribosomal RNA". It matches the Rfam family "Bacterial small subunit ribosomal RNA", at positions 524 to 776 of the family's 1533-position model. The record is from RNAcentral.
UACGGAGGGUGCAAGCGUUAUCCGGAUUCACUGGGUUUAAAGGGCGCGUAGGCGGCGUGACAAGUCACUUGUGAAAUCUCCGGGCUUAACUCGGAACGGUCAAGUGAUACUGUCGUGCUAGAGUACAGAAGGGGCAACUGGAAUUCUCGGUGUAGCGGUGAAAUGCGUAGAUAUCGAGAGGAACACCUGCGGCGAAGGCGGGUUGCUGGGCUGAUACUGACGCUGAGGCGCGAAAGCCAGGGGAGCGAACGGG